AGAGCGCUAUUAGUUCACGGGACAAUCGGAUCGAGGAUCGCCCUCAUUUCUAUUCACGUUAUGUCUAUCGGCUAAAGUCUUCAGCACGAUGAUUUUGAUAUUACCAUAAAACAAUAAUUUCAUGAUACGAUAUACAAUAAUAAUUGAAUGAAAUAAUAAACAAUGAUAUCUCGCGAACCUUUCAAUAAUAAAAUGGAUAGAAUUGUAUUCGGAUUAACUUUGUUAAUAAUUUGCUCGAGUAUCGAUGAUGCAACAGGAACGUGCGUUCACGUGGAAAACGAUGAUAUGUUGGAAUAUUCGUGUGUCGGAGGACGUCCUGACGAUUUACUUUCUAUACCAUCAGAAACGGAAAAGAUUCGUAUAAGACAAAUGGAAAUUCCUGUUAUAACUGGUGAUAUGUUUUCACGAUUCAAUAAUCUUUGGGUUUUGGGAUGUUCGCGAUGUAACAUCAUGGAUAUUGAACCUAAUGCUUUUCAAUCUUUGGUCAAUCUUCAACAAUUGAGUUUAGACGAUAAUCAUUUGAAAACUGUCAAAGGAUCUUGGUUCAAAGGCUUGGAAUAUUUGACUUAUUUGGAUUUAAAUUAUAACGAGAUAACGACAAUCGAAGACGAAGUGUAUGAAAAUCUGCCGAGUCUUAUUGAUUUUCGAUUGUCCGGUAAUCGGUUCGAAUGUUUGAACAGUCAAGCUAUGGAAAACUUGUCGAAUUUAAAAAGAAUAUUUCUCAGUGAAAAUCCUGAGUUCAAGUGUCCGAACGCUAUCAGCAAGUUUCUCGAUGCUCGUGGCAUUAGUUUUGAUAAAGAUUCACAAUGGAAGGAUUUUGAUGAAGUUUCUGUCGAUAGCAUGGUUGUAAAUCAUCAAACGGAAACUUCAACGGAUUGGUCGUCAAUGCCAGAUCAUCGUAAGAGAUUACAUUUUCCUACAGUUGUUCCAACAACAACAACAACAACAACUGAAGAAAUGAGAGAACCUGAACGUACCUCACCAAUGCUUGAAACAACACAUUAUCCAUUGUAUGCUCCCGUGAGGGUCACCAUUACUUCCGAUCAUAAUGAAGGAAUAUCUCAAUUAUUUCCAUCGGUUGAUUAUUCUGCAAUUAUCACUACGACUGAUAAACCGGAAGUACCACAAUAUCCACCAACAAUCGCUGAUCCUUAUCUUCCUGUUAUGACAACGGAACAACCUUCUAGAUAUUCAUCAACGAAACCUUGGCGAAUUGUCACAGAAAACGAUAAUGAAUAUCUCGAACCAUUAGAUUAUUCCGAGGAAUAUUUCAAUCCAACUAGGACAACGUUUCCAUUUGAUACAAGGCCAAUUAAUCGAGAAACUAUGCCUCCUAUGUUAGAUCCAAGAAAUAUCUUAUCCACUCAACCACCUGAAUAUUGGACGCAAAAUGGUAUACUCAUAGAAUCGAAUUAUCCACUUCCUAAUCCAUCUUUUGGCCCGGAGCUCGCAGAAAAUGAUAUUGAAAAGAUCAAAAUGAAAGAUAUUGUUUUCACGAAUAGACAACAAGUAAUACCACCAGAAAUUGUUCAACCUGCAGCACCUAGCGAUUUGCAUCAAGUACCUAAUAACGAACCAACUGUGACCAUACAAGGACCAUUACAACCGUCAAUUGUACCAAAUAACGAACAAAAUACACAACAAUCAUCAAUGACAGUAGUAGAAACUACUACUACAGACAAACCGUUUCCUCAGUGUCCACCAAGUUCAUCGAUAUCUGUUGAACUUACACCUUUUCUUAUCUUUCUCACUUUUAUUUUGAAUAUCAUCGUGCUGAGAUUUUAGCUGAUGGACAUUUGCCAUGAACGAUUUAACAUUAGUUCAAUACGACAAACGUGCACACAACAUCGCAUUGACUUCUAUUCGUAUUUAUCGUACUAUAAUUAUUAUUAUUAUUAUUAUUAUCAUCAGUAAUUAUUAUUAUUAUUAUUACUAUUAUGUAUGAGCCGAUAAUGUAAUAAGAACUUUGUACACGAGAGAGUUCAAAUAAGCCGCGUUAAGCAUUUAUGAGGUCACGAUCGGCAUCCAUCGUAUAUUUAGUUUUCUAUUUUCUAAUUAUGUCAAUCAAAUCUUAAUUGUUCAAACUCCUCGUUUAUUAAUUGAACAAGACAAGAACCAGAGUCACAAUUGCUGGGCCAAAGAAGCCAUGGAGGCUGAACGAUUGAACAAAAUGCAACAAAUAGAAGAUGAAGAAAAUGCAGCUGCU
Polistes dominula (European paper wasp) is the source of this 2206-nucleotide unclassified non-coding RNA. The record is from RefSeq and is a predicted model, not a curated record. NCBI's taxonomy places the organism in Eukaryota, Metazoa, Arthropoda, Insecta, Hymenoptera, Vespidae.